GAGAGCGGAUGUGGCCCGGUGGCUGUCCCCGUCUUCAAAACGGGCGAGCGGGGUGGCGAACUUCGCUGGUGGGUUCGACUCCCACGCGCUCUCGCCA
RNAcentral lists this transfer RNA (97 nucleotides) under Chloroflexota bacterium. Its description in RNAcentral is "Chloroflexi bacterium (mine drainage metagenome) tRNA-Sec". It matches the Rfam family "Selenocysteine transfer RNA". The record is from RNAcentral. Lineage: Bacteria; Bacillati; Chloroflexota.